GACGAACGCUGGCGGCGUGCUUAACACAUGCAAGUCGAACGGAAAGGCCCUGCUUUUGUGGGGUGCUCGAGUGGCGAACGGGUGAGUAACACGUGAGUAACCUGCCCUUGACUUUGGGAUAACUUCAGGAAACUGGGGCUAAUACCGGAUAGGAGCUCCUGCUGCAUGGUGGGGGUUGGAAAGUUUCGGCGGUUGGGGAUGGACUCGCGGCUUAUCAGCUUGUUGGUGGGGUAGUGGCUUACCAAGGCUUUGACGGGUAGCCGGCCUGAGGGGGUGACCGGCCACAUGGGGACGGGGAGACGGCCCAGACCCCUAGGGGGGGAAGCGGGGGGGAAUAUGGCACAAGGGGGGGAAGCCUGAUGCAGAAACCCCGGGGGCGGGAUGAGGGCCUUGGGGUUGUAAACCGCUUUCCCCUGGGACGAAGGGGGAGUGGCGGUAAUGGGAAAAGAAGCACCGGCAAAUUAGGG
Molecule: ribosomal RNA, 467 nt
Filed under: uncultured bacterium
Lineage: Bacteria
Description: partial 16S ribosomal RNA
Rfam family: Bacterial small subunit ribosomal RNA
Source: RNAcentral